This 497-nucleotide ribosomal RNA is filed under the name uncultured bacterium. RNAcentral's name for it is "partial 16S ribosomal RNA". It matches the Rfam family "Bacterial small subunit ribosomal RNA", at positions 28 to 507 of the family's 1533-position model. The record is from RNAcentral.
GAUGAACGCUGGCGGCGUGCCUAAUACAUGCAAGUCGAGCGAACAGACGAGGAGCUUGCUCCUUUGACGUUAGCGGCGGACGGGUGAGUAACACGUAGGUAACCUACCUAUAAGACUGGGAUAACUUCGGGAAACCGGAGCUAAUACCGGAUAAUAUUUCGAACCGCAUGGUUCGAUAGUGAAAGAUGGCUUUGCUAUCACUUAUAGAUGGACCUGCGCCGUAUUAGCUAGUUGGUAAGGUAACGGCUUACCAAGGCAACGAUACGUAGCCGACCUGAGAGGGUGAUCGGCCACACUGGAACUGAGACACGGUCCAGACUCCUACGGGAGGCAGCAGUAGGGAAUCUUCCGCAAUGGGCGAAAGCCUGACGGAGCAACGCCGCGUGAGUGAUGAAGGUCUUCGGAUCGUAAAACUCUGUGAUUAGGGAAGAACAAACGUGUAAGUAACUGUGCACGUCUUGACGGUACCUAAUCAGAAAGCCACGGCUAACUACGUG